AAGGAAUAUUGGACAAUGCCCGCAAGGGUGAUCCAGCCAUGCCGCGUGCAGGAAGACGGCCCUAUGGGUUGUAAACUGCUUUUACACCGGAGAAAACCUUCCCUCGUGAGGGGAGCUGAUAGUAUGGUGAGAAUAAGCAUCGGCUAACUUCGUGCCAGCAGCCGCGGUAAGACGAAGGAUGCAAGCGUUAUCCGGAUUCAUUGGGUUUAAAGGGAGCAUAGGUGGGUUUGUAAGUCAGUGGUGAAAGCCGGUCGCUUAACGAUCGAAUUGCCAUUGAUACUGCAGACCUUGAGUACAGAUGCUGUGGGCGGAAUAUGACAUGUAGUGGUGAAAUACAUAGAGAUGUCAUAGAACACCGAUUGCGAAGGCAGCUCACAAAACUGUAACUGACACUGAGGCUCGAAAGUGCGGGGAUCAAAC
Molecule: ribosomal RNA, 420 nt
Filed under: uncultured bacterium
Lineage: Bacteria
Description: bacterial SSU rRNA
Rfam family: Bacterial small subunit ribosomal RNA
Source: RNAcentral